Molecule: ribosomal RNA, 460 nt
Filed under: uncultured bacterium
Lineage: Bacteria
Description: partial 16S ribosomal RNA
Rfam family: Bacterial small subunit ribosomal RNA
Source: RNAcentral
CCUACGGGUGGCUGCAGUGAGGAAUAUUGGUCAAUGGACGAGAGUCUGAACCAGCCAAGUAGCGUGAAUGAUGACUGCCCUAUGGGUUGUAAACUUCUUUUAUAUGGGAAUAAAAUGUUCCACGUGUGGGAUUUUGUAUGUACCAUAUGAAUAAGGAUCGGCUAACUCCGUGCCAGCAGCCGCGGUAAUACGGAGGAUCCGAGCGUUAUCCGGAUUUAUUGGGUUUAAAGGGAGCGUAGGUGGAUUGUUAAGUCAGUUGUGAAAGUUUGCGGCUCAACCGUAAAAUUGCAGUUGAAACUGGCAGUCUUGAGUACAGUAGAGGUGGGCGGAAUUCGUGGUGUAGCGGUGAAAUGCUUAGAUAUCACGAAGAACUCCGAUUGCGAAGGCAGUUCACUGGACUGCAACUGACACUGAGGCUCGAAAGUGUGGGUAUCAAACAGGAGUAGAUACCCUUGUAGUC